This 292-nucleotide ribosomal RNA is filed under the name uncultured Actinomycetales bacterium. RNAcentral's name for it is "partial 16S ribosomal RNA". It matches the Rfam family "Bacterial small subunit ribosomal RNA", at positions 1038 to 1330 of the family's 1533-position model. The record is from RNAcentral. Lineage: Bacteria; Bacillati; Actinomycetota; Actinomycetes; Actinomycetales.
GUGGUGCAUGGCUGUCGUCAGCUCGUGUCGUGAGAUGUUGGGUUAAGUCCCGCAACGAGCGCAACCCUUGUCGCAUGUUGCCAGCGUAAUGCCGGGGACUCAUGGGAGACUGCCGGGGUCAACUCGGAGGAAGGUGGGGAUGACGUCAAGUCAUCAUGCCCCUUAUGUCCAGGGCUUCACACUUGCUACAAUGGCCGGUACAAAGGGCUGCGAAACCGUGAGGUGGAGCGAAUCCCCACAAAGCCGGUCUCAGUUCGGAUGGGGGUCUGCAACUCGACCCCGUGAAGUCGGA